RNAcentral lists this ribosomal RNA (332 nucleotides) under uncultured bacterium. RNAcentral describes it as "bacterial SSU rRNA". It matches the Rfam family "Bacterial small subunit ribosomal RNA", at positions 568 to 898 of the family's 1533-position model. The record is from RNAcentral.
CGUGUAGGCGGGUCUGUAAGUCAGAUGUGAAAUGCCGCAGCUUAACUGCGGAGCUGCAUUUGAAACUGCGGAUCUUGAGUGAUGGAGAGGUAAACGGAAUUCCCGGUGUAGCGGUGAAAUGCGUAGAGAUCGGGAGGAACACCAGUGGCGAAGGCGGUUUACUGGACAUUAACUGACGCUGAGGCGCGAAAGCGUGGGGAGCAAACAGGAUUAGAUACCCUGGUAGUCCACGCUGUAAACGAUGGAUACUAGGUGUGGGGGGACUGACCCCUUCCGUGCCGGAGUUAACACAAUAAGUAUCCCACCGUGGGGAGUACGGUCGCAAGAUUAAA